This 75-nucleotide transfer RNA is filed under the name Candidatus Parcubacteria bacterium. RNAcentral describes it as "tRNA-Glu". It matches the Rfam family "tRNA". From Rfam's summary of the family: Transfer RNA (tRNA) molecules are approximately 80 nucleotides in length. Their secondary structure includes four short double-helical elements and three loops (D, anti-codon, and T loops). Lineage: Bacteria; Candidatus Parcubacteria. The record is from RNAcentral.
GGCCCCAUCGUCUAGUGGUUAGGACAUCUGGUUUUCAUCCAGAAAACAGGGGUUCGAUUCCCCUUGGGGCUACCA